CUCUAGAUGUUGCUGAACUACAACUCCCAUGAUUCUCAGUCUGUCAUUCAUGGAAUCAUGGGAGUUGUAGUUCAGCAACAUCUGGAG
This 87-nucleotide microRNA precursor is filed under the name Pelobates cultripes (western spadefoot toad). The record is from RNAcentral. Lineage: Eukaryota; Metazoa; Chordata; Amphibia; Anura; Pelobatidae.